Molecule: ribosomal RNA, 440 nt
Filed under: uncultured bacterium
Lineage: Bacteria
Description: partial 16S ribosomal RNA
Rfam family: Bacterial small subunit ribosomal RNA
Source: RNAcentral
CCUACGGGAGGCAGCAGUGGGGGAUAUUGCACAAUGGGGGAAACCCUGAUGCAGCGACGCCGCGUGGGUGAAGAAGCGCCUCGGCGCGUAAAGCCCUGUCAGCAGGGAAGAAAAUGACGGUACCUGAAGAAGAAGCCCCGGCUAACUACGUGCCAGCAGCCGCGGUAAUACGUAGGGGGCAAGCGUUAUCCGGAUUUAUUGGGUUUAAGGGGAGCGUAGGCCGCAUGUCAAGCGUGCUGUGAAAUGUCCGGGCUCAACCCGGGCCUUGCAGCGCGAACUGGCGUGCUUGAGUCCGCGGAAAGCAGGCGGAAUUCGUCGUGUAGCGGUGAAAUGCUUAGAUAUGACGAAGAACCCCGAUUGCGAAGGCAGCUUGCUGCAGCGGAACUGACGCUGAUGCUCGAAAGCGCGGGUAUCGAACAGGAUUAGAUACCCUAGUAGUC